Long non-coding RNA from Pecten maximus, 1599 nucleotides. RefSeq lists it as uncharacterized. The record is from RefSeq and is a predicted model, not a curated record. The transcript has 2 exons. Lineage: Eukaryota; Metazoa; Mollusca; Bivalvia; Pectinida; Pectinidae.
CAAAAUAAACACAACUCAUUUAAAUCGUCAAAUUUAUCAAAAUAGUUUUAUUCCUUUCCUAUAUACAUCAUGUACGUGCCAUUUAGUCGACGGUCAACUCAGGCAAUAAGGGAAAUAACUCUAAUAGCUUUAGGAAAUACAUGUAGGAUACACAUUUGCACCAAAUCUAUGACAAAGUAUUUCUCAUGUUUGAGUCAACACUAAACAUAUUUACAAUAUAUAUAAACUAAUGUAUAAUUGGUGAACUGAAAACAAAUCAUACAUAAACAAUUAGUUUAUUAUCAAUGGAAGACGUUCGUUUGCAAAAUUGUUUGUUUGUUUUUUCUUUCUUAUCCGAUUAUGAUCAUAGACAAUGUAUCUAGACCCUGCAUGAUGAGCUAAUACAUUGAAAGAGUUAGUGCUAAGUGAAUCAUUUUCCUUAAUAAAUUACUUCACAUUAAUGGCAUCGAAGCAGCCAAGAAAUCGAGGAAUAGUAAGACAAGUUAAAAGCUGUAAUAGAACACGUAUCACACAAAGGGACUUUUGUUGUUAUGUAUGACUGAUACAUUGAAGCGGAUAUGAAAGUAAAGUUAUAAAGAUGAAACACAGGUAGGAGUUUAUAUAUGUAACGUUUAUAGUCUUAAUUACGACCUCAUUAAUAUCGAAAAUAAGCCUGGGAUUCUUUACCAAAAAAGAAAAUAAGCCGCGGCUUAUUAUCGAGAUUAUAGAGUAUACCUACAUAAUAUAACGAAACUUUCUCUUAGUUUCAACGCUAAAUAUAUUCCCUGGAGUUAAAUCAAUAAAUUAUAUCGAUAACAUGGGCUAAUAAAUAAGCCCACGCCCGGAAUUAUAGGUACUGCGACCACGCGUCGUCUCUGUGAGGGGAAGACAAUAACGUAACCCUUGGAUCUGGAAGACGUAAUACGCCGAACUGUAUCUAAAACACUUUACAUAGUGGGUUCUAAAAAGUUUAAAGUGAUAUCUAUUUGGGAAAGACAAAACUAACGGACUACAUAUAGAUAUAACUUUGCAUAUCUGUUUUAACUUUCGAAUCUAUUACUAUGAACGAAUGGAAUGAAAUAAUGAAUGCAUUUAAUAUAUGAUAAACACAAUGACGUCAUCAUUAACUUUCCAUUUUAAUGGAUAUAAUACUACUACAUCCGUAACAAGAGACACCAUAAAGGCCUUAGCGAGCACCAUUGAAUGACCUUUCUAUAUCUAUAUAAACCUUCCCCUACGAUUUUCGUCCUUCCUCUUAAUCAUGUAAUUGUUUUAUUAACAAAAAAAAUGACGUACUUUUUUUGUUUUUGUUUUCUGAUCAGCCCGAAAAUUAAACAGGCACAAAUACAAAUCAAAUCAAGAUAAAUUUACGUUUCAGAAUCUGAGAAUGGUUCUAGAUGUGUUACUCAAGCAAUGGUGACAACAAGGAUUGUUUACGGACGGACGGACGGUCGGUCGAUGGACCACGGACGUAGGGUGAUUUGAUUAAAAUUACAUUCAAAUGUUAAACCAUUCAGCUACUUGGUAACUGCAUUUUGAUUCAUUGGUGGAAGGAUUAAUUAAUUCUAUCGAGGACAUGGUCCGAAGAAGCAGACUAACCGAUUAGGAAAGUAGAAAAAA